GUAGGUGGCAAGCGUUGUCCGGAAUUAUUGGGCGUAAAGCGCGCGCAGGCGGUUCUUUAAGUCUGAUGUGAAAGCUCACGGCUCAACCGUGGAGGGUCAUUGGAAACUGGAGAACUUGAGUACAGAAGAGGAAAGCGGAAUUCCACGUGUAGCGGUGAAAUGCGUAGAGAUGUGGAGGAACACCAGUGGCGAAGGCGGCUUUCUGGUCUGUAACUGACGCUGAGGCGCGAAAGCGUGGGGAGCAAACAGGAUUAGAUACCCUGGUAGUCCACGCCGUAAACGAUGAGUGCUAAGUGUUAGGGGGGUUUUCCGCCCCCCUUAGUGCUGCAGCUAACGCAUUAAGCACUCCGCCUGGGAGUACGGCCGCAAGGCUG
Molecule: ribosomal RNA, 374 nt
Filed under: uncultured organism
Description: partial 16S ribosomal RNA
Rfam family: Bacterial small subunit ribosomal RNA
Source: RNAcentral